GGAGCGCAGGGGACCUGCCCCACGUACCAACAGAAGCUUUGAAGAGCUAUUGUGUAUUUCCACUCUCUCUCUUCCCUAUAUCACGAGAUUGGAGUAUUCUAGAUGGAGGCUGCUCCCACUAGCUUGGUCCCAUAACGAAAAGGACAUGGAGCAGAAUUUCAGCCACUCUGUGAAGAUCAAGUCAGGCGAGGGAGAAGUAAACUUUGUUGUAAGCCACUAAAAUUUGGGGGAUCAUUUGUUACUGCAGCAAAUGAUUUCCCCUAAACUGGCAGAGUCAAGCAAUGAUGCCAUUGUAUUGGAAAUAUCUGUCAAGUGUCAGGAGGCUCCUUGAGCAGACUGAGGCAUUUCACCAGAUUGUGCCCCGAAAAACCUGAUCUGAAGCUGUCGGAGGACAGGUCACUUGUCACCUGCUAUAUCAUAAAGUCCUCGCAGUCAUCAGGAACUUUUCCUUCCUGCCACCUGCUUCCUCCUAAACCACAACCCAAAUGACUCUGCUGCUUCCAGGGGCAAUAGAGUUCCAGAGACUUCGUUGGAAAUUUUGGCUCAUGACGGUGUUUCUCUGAGGAAACAGAAACAAAUGCAAAGGGCAGUUCCAUGAAGGGGGAUUCCGUGACACAUUUCUACCGAAUCUUUUCAAGGGUCUUAGUUCUUAGAAACGUGGAGAAGUCCCAACAUGCAUGCUGGGUGCCUGGCGCCAUGGGGACAGGAAGAAGACAACCGAGUACAUUUCCUGUGCUCCAGACCCUGUUCUCAGCACCUUUCACGUAUUCACAACGCUCCUCCUCACAACCUAGGAGACAGGCUCUGUUAGGCUCGGCCCCACUUUGCUGAUGAGGAAACUGAGGUGCACGGGCAUCACAGAGCUUGCCCCAGCGGCAGUUUUGUCGGGUGGCUGCAAAGGGGGCGAAGCUGGGUUUCACGUGAUACCAACACUUCGGCUACACGGAACGAAACUUGGAGUCCCCUAGGCGCUCGGUUCUCUAGGUCUCUAACUGGAACUCUUAAAAACCCUAGAUAAGUAUCAUCACCUCCUAUUCUACAGAUGAGAAAACCGCGACUCACAACAAUUCAGUGACUUCGCAGUGUCACAGAGCUAGCAAGCCAGGAUUUGAAUGCUGAGCUGGAAGUCUACCUUUUAAGGCGGCUCAGCAAGAGCAAGAUAUUCCUUUCCUAAGGCUUUCCAGCUUUUCAUGGCAGGAAGUGGUAAUGAGCCUGUGUGGUGAGCAUGAGGACUGCCCUGGGUCCCCACAGAUGGCCGCCUUCUGGCUCCAGAGCCUUGGCCAGCAACACUCCCAUCUUUGUGCUCAUGACCUAGUUUGGCUCACCCAGUUUAGCUCUAUGGCCUAUUUCUUCCCGAAGAAUUAUUUCAUAACAUUUGCCAAGUAACUAUGACAGGCUGAGCACAUGGCAUUCGUGAACUUGGAGAUGAAACCAACCCAACGUUCCUUCAUAUGUGUGGACCGAUAUUUGCCAUCCGGGUAGAAAGACCAGGAAGGGUUUUUUGGGGUUUUUUUGUUUGUUUGUUUUUUCUUUUUACCAGAAGGGAAAUUAAGAAGAGUCUCAAACCUGCCCUUUCAGGUUGGUUUCCUUUUUACAACAGCUGCCCUAAAUCACAGGCAGUUGGGGCCUGGAUUGCUCGACCAGGGCAUACAGAAAUUUCUACAGCCUAUUAGGAUAAAGUCUUUCUUGAUCCUGCUUUUAGCAAUGGAUCUUAACUACCUCACGCUGGUUCCCUAUUGCCAAUAAAAUCCACUGUCCACGUAGGGUCCGGGGGCUGAAAUAAAGGAGCGUGAGUUAAAUGUUGGUAAGAGACUUAGAAGUGUUAAUUAGGCAACGUAAUUCUAUACUUUUGAAAGGGCUGAGCCAUAAAAUGCUGUGAUUAAGGGGCUGUCUAUACAAGUAAAUGGAUAUAAUUACGUGUAAAAGCUCUCUUUCUCCCCCUUUGUGCUCCUCAAGCCCAAACCUGCUAGUUCUAAUGUUUCCUUCCUUCCUUUUUUUUUUUUUUUCUUUCUUCAUCAACAUUCCCUGGGGACUUGGCUGGUUUUUCUUCCCCUUAGCCACAGGCCUCCUACUCUGUCUACUGUUUGGGGGUUACUUAUCAUCAACUCCACCUGAUGGCCCCAUUCUCCAGAAACAAAUUCAUGAGGCUUAAGAGUUUCACAGAACAUGGGGUUACAAAAAGAACAAAUAUAGGGAAAUUAAAAAGUCUACACAUUUCAGGGUGCCUGGGUGGCUCAAUGGGUUAAGCAUCCAACUCUUGGUUUUGGCUCAGGUCAUGAUCUCUCACUUCGUGGGUUUGAGCCCUCUGUCAGCACAGAGCCUCCUUGGGAUUCUCUCUCUCCCCCUCUCUCUGCUCCUCCCCUGCUCGCUAUCUCUGUCUCUCCAAAUAAAUAAAGUUAAUUUUUUUUUUUUAAAGCCUACAAAUUUCUUACAGACAUGGCCUUUUGUUUUUAGCUCCUAGCUUCCUCUCUGGGUACUUCCCACUGGGUACUAUAGGACUCAACCCUGAUGAGGGUGCUAACCCACUGUUAACUCUCCUGACCUGACUCCCACCCUGGACCAUCUUUUCAACAUACAAAACAGAACGUCUUCCCAUACUAAUGAGAGUACCUCCAGGCUCUUUACCUGGGCCUCCCUGGCCUCCGUGUUCUGUGCUCUGCUUCCCGAGCCUCACCUCUACCACUUUCCCAUUCAUCCUGUGCUCCAGCCCAGUCUAGUCCUCUUGCUGUGCUUUGAACAGCUCCAAGUCUUUCCACCUCAGGGGCUUUGCACUGACUAGCCCUUUUCCCUAGAACACCCUAACUACAAGCUGGCUCCUUCUCAUCUUGUGGGUCUCAGCUGAAAUGUCACCUCUUCAGAGAGGCCUUCCUGGAUUAAUUUAUCUAAAGGAGGCCUCCCUCAUUCCAGCCAUUCCAUUCUUUAUCAUAUUUCCCUCUUCUAUUUUCUUCAAAGCACUUAACCGCUACCAGAAAUUAUCUUGCUUAUUCAUGUGUUUGUCUCUUGAGUGUCCACAUCCACCACUAAGCUGGAAACUCCAUAUGAAGGCAAAGACCAUGUCUGUCACACUCACUGUUGUCUCCCCAGAAGCAAAUCGUGCACAUGGGGGCCCUAAAGGAGUAUAUUGUCUUAUUUCACCCGCCACCAUCUGGUUAACCGGAGUCACCCUUCAUUUCAUGUCCGAGAAGCCAUUGUUGACUAUGACCUUUACAUCACACGCUGGGUUACCUGGACUGCGGUCAUUCAUUUACUAAGCAUCCAUGUUAGAAGGCCAUGUGCCAGAGGCUAUGUUAGGCAAUAAUUUCACCAAGUCAAAGGAGCGGUAGGUCCUGCCUUCAAAAAGUUUCUAAUCUAACGGAAAGGCAGACAAGUAAGUUAGUGAGGGCGAUCCCUGCAGGAUGAUCUGGUAGGAGAAUACCGAGUGCCAAAAGAUAGACAAGAGGGGCAUCUCAAUCAGACUAGAGGGUUCUGGCCAGGCUUCUAAGAAACGAUUCUUGAGCUAAGUUUCUUCAUGUAAGAGCUAGAAAGAGAACAGCAGUAUAUUUUGGGGUGAGCGAGUCCCAUGGGCUAGAAAACCAUGGUGAAGACACCAUGUGUUGCUGGGCUGACCUAAGCAGGCAGUGGGCUCUGGGGAAGGUGUGCUAGGCAGGGAGUCUGGGGAACUUGUUUCUGCCUAGUCUGUUUCUAACGAGCCGUGUGACUGUGAGUGGGUCCCCUCCCCUCUGAGUUUCAGAUUCUCUCUCUGGCUGGCAUUUAGCGAAAACUGAACUUGUCUGAACAUUCUAGACCUUCUAUUCAUUCCGUAAGUAUUCAGUCUCUAUAGUCACUGUCCCCUAACACCAAUUUACUGGGGGCUCACUUUAUGCCCAGCAGAGCACUAAGUGUUCUAAAAAAUAAAAUUAAUGGCAAAUGCAGUCUUUGCUCUGGAAUGCAGUCACAAUUUGGAGAGGGAGAAAAUAAACCAUAAUAAAAUUAGGAAAACGAAGCAGUUUAACGCAUCUUACAUCUUUUGCUAAUUGUUCCCGUGUACUGGUCUUAUUGUGCCAUUUACAUGCCCUGUGUUCUAAUUCUAUUUGAUCCAGUCUCCCACUUUCUAGCUAUAAAACAGUGGCCUAGUUCUUUUACUUUUCUAAGCUUCUAUUUCAAGAUCUGUAAAGUGAGGAAAGUACCAAACUUACAGGGUUGUUGUGAGGAACGAAUGGGUUAGAAUAUGCGAGGCAUUUAGCAUAGGGCCUCACACACAGUCUGACCUCGAUAAUAAUUGCAUCUUCCAUGCUGCUGGACAUUGGAAUGCGCAACGAUAGAGAUGAAAUGUUAAGAACAAGGUUGAAGAGUGAUCCAUGAAGACUGAGACUAUGCACCUCCUGGAAGACCCUUGAGUGAGUUUUUUAAGGAAGUGAGUUGACUGAAUUGUUGGUGGAGAAUCAGCAGGAACACAGGUAGAAGGCUCUUGUAAUGGUCAAGGAGAAGGUGAGGUCAGGACUGGAAUGGAAUGGAAGGAGACACUGUGGAGAAUCAAUAGGCUCUUGAUGAUGCUCCUAGUUAAGGGCUUUGGUAUUUUCUCUGAAGGAUCAGGCCACCAGCAUUUUUUUGUCCCUCCCAAAUACCUGUUGCACAGGCUACAUUCCAAGUGCGUGAAGCAGAGGUCUGGGGCUGCCUGCUUCCAUCUAGCUCCACUCAUAAGAUAGAGGAUUAUGUACAUCCUACAUGCUAACUUGCCUGUGAUCUUCAAGGGUGUCAAGUUCGUGGACGUCAAAGGUAGAACUGUUCCAAGCUAAAGGAGACUAGAGGGCCUCGAUAACUAAAUGCAGCGUGUGGUUCUGAACCGGAUUCUUCUGUGGGAAUCACUGACAAAGCUUGAGUGAGUUCUGAGGAUUAGAUAGUCUUAACUAUCAAUGUCAAUUUCCUGACUUUAAUGCUUAUAUUCGGGGUAUGCAGAAUAAUUCCUGAAAGCCAUGCUGAUGAAGAUAAGCAAUUGUGGUAGCUUGUCUCCAACGUGACCAACCACCAAGUAUUUCUUCUCCCCUGUGUACACAGCCAGAAGUACGGUCUGUUCCUGUGCUCCCUGGAAUGUGGCCGAACUUAUGACUGCUCUAAGCAACAGAAUGCUACUGAAGUCAUGCUAUGUGACUUCUGAGGCUAGGUCCUAAGAGGCCUUAUAGCUUCUGCCAGUGUCUCUUAGAAGCCAACCUCUACCUAAGAAGUCUAAGUGCCUGGAAACCACCGUGCCUGAGGAAGCCCAAGCCAAUUCUAGUGAGAAUUGCCCCACUGAGCAUAUCAGGCCCAGAACUCUGAAAAUACAAUAAUAAAUUGUGUUAACCACUA
Long non-coding RNA from Panthera uncia (snow leopard), 5322 nucleotides. RefSeq lists it as uncharacterized. Lineage: Eukaryota; Metazoa; Chordata; Mammalia; Carnivora; Felidae. The transcript has 3 exons. The record is from RefSeq and is a predicted model, not a curated record.